GGAAGUAAAAGUCGUUACAAGGUUUCCGUAGGUGAACCUGCGGAAGGAUCAUUAUUGUAUAACCGAGGUGCGAGGGCUGUCGCUGACCCGAAAGGGUCGUGCACGCCCGAGUGCCCUCACACACAUCCAUCUCACCCCUAUGUGCACCACCGCGUGGGUCCCCCUUUGGCUUGUUCGGAGGGGGGCUUACGUUUUCACACAAACUUUGUAUGCAGUGUAGAAUGUAUUUUUUGUUUUUGCGAUCACGCAAUCAAUACAACUUUCAACAACGGAUCUCUUGGCUCUC
RNAcentral lists this unclassified non-coding RNA (286 nucleotides) under plant metagenome. Its description in RNAcentral is "partial contains small subunit ribosomal RNA, internal transcribed spacer 1, and 5.8S ribosomal RNA". The stretch from base 1 to 54 matches the Rfam family "Eukaryotic small subunit ribosomal RNA", at positions 1778 to 1831 of the family's 1831-position model. The record is from RNAcentral.